Molecule: unclassified non-coding RNA, 427 nt
Filed under: Hevea brasiliensis (rubber tree)
Lineage: Eukaryota; Viridiplantae; Streptophyta; Magnoliopsida; Malpighiales; Euphorbiaceae
Source: RNAcentral
AAAACAGAUCUUCAAGAUUAAAGAAAUCAAGAAUCAUCAUUCUUCAAAAAAGUGAUGCAGAAAAUCCAUUUUUUCUGUUAAAGAGCAAAAGCCUUAAAAAAAUUUCUUUCUUGAGCCCUAUGUUACGCAUUCACCAAUCCAUAUUGAAUCUGUCUCCAAGUCCUAAAGUCUAGCUAAGUCCAAUCUUGUAAUAUCAAGCCCUCAACAACUUCGUAAAGCUUUCUAAUAUUUCACCAAACGUCAUAACCAUUUUAGAAUAACUUAAUGUAGCUGGAAACCUAACAUGCAUGUCAACCUGGUGUUUGAGAUCCAUCUCAUUAUCUAUCCCAACAUUUUCUGACAACUCAAAAUUUCCCCACCAAAGCUAAAAAAUAGAGAAUUAACAAGGAGUUUAUACCCAAAGGAAAAUCAGGUCUUAAAAACAAUG